GGAGUGGCCAACUAAGUCGCUUGAUGUUUCAAGACGACAAAGAUGCCCGAAGCGUAAUAAUUAAGUAUAAUAGUUUCAGUGUACAAGGACAAGGGUGACAUUCAGGAUUGCAACAACUAUAGGGGUAGUUGGUAAGUCAUACUGUGAGGGCUUGGAAAUGGGGUUGAGGUUUAGGAGGGGAUCAUGACUAUUGCUAAGAACCAUUUCGGCCUCAUUGUUUGAGGCUAAACCCCCAUAUCCAACAUUUGGUCAGGC
This 255-nucleotide unclassified non-coding RNA is filed under the name Hevea brasiliensis (rubber tree). The record is from RNAcentral. Lineage: Eukaryota; Viridiplantae; Streptophyta; Magnoliopsida; Malpighiales; Euphorbiaceae.